GGAAUAUUGGACAAUGGGGGCAACCCUGAUCCAGCCAUGCCGCGUGCGUGAAGAAGGCCUUAGGGUUGUAAAGCGCUUUCACUGGUGAAGAUGAUGACGGUAGCCAGAGAAGAAGCCCCGGCUAACUCCGUGCCAGCAGCCGCGGUAAUACGGAGGGGGCAAGCGUUGUUCGGAAUUACUGGGCGUAAAGGGCGCGUAGGCGGCUUCGCAAGUCAAAGGUGAAAUCCCUCGGCUCAACCGAGGAAUUGCCCUUGAAACUGCGUGGCUUGAGGCCGGGAGGGGGUAGCGGAAUUCCUGGUGUAGCGGUGAAAUGCGUAGAUAUCAGGAGGAACACCGGUGGCGAAGGCGGCUACCUGGACCGGUUCUGACGCUGAUGCGCGAAAGCGUGGGGAGCAAAC
Molecule: ribosomal RNA, 398 nt
Filed under: uncultured bacterium
Lineage: Bacteria
Description: bacterial SSU rRNA
Rfam family: Bacterial small subunit ribosomal RNA
Source: RNAcentral